Molecule: microRNA precursor, 98 nt
Filed under: Nicotiana sylvestris (wood tobacco)
Lineage: Eukaryota; Viridiplantae; Streptophyta; Magnoliopsida; Solanales; Solanaceae
Also listed under: 1 other name
Description: MIR6152 microRNA precursor family
Rfam family: MIR6152 microRNA precursor family
Source: Rfam by way of RNAcentral
UAGACAUAUUUUUGUAUUCGACUGUAUUCAACUGCGUGAAACAGGGGAUUGCAACUGUUUUUAAACGGAAAGUGAAUCAAUUAACAUAAUAGACUCCU